UACCGGAUAAGUCUUUACGGAGAAAGCUUUAUGCACCAUUGGAUGAGCCCGCACUUGAUUAGUUUGUUGGUAGGGUAAUGGCCUACCAAGACUAUGAUCAAUAGCUGAUUUGAGAGGAUGAUCAGCCACAUUGGGACUGAGACACGGCCCAAACUCCUACGGGAGGCAGCAGUGGGGAAUCUUGCACAAUGGAGGAAACUCUGAUGCAGCGAUGCCGCGUGAGUGAAGAAGGCCUUUGGGUUGUAAAGCUCUUUC
RNAcentral lists this ribosomal RNA (255 nucleotides) under uncultured bacterium. RNAcentral's name for it is "partial 16S ribosomal RNA". It matches the Rfam family "Bacterial small subunit ribosomal RNA", at positions 167 to 437 of the family's 1533-position model. The record is from RNAcentral.